RNAcentral lists this transfer RNA (91 nucleotides) under Marinobacter nauticus. Its description in RNAcentral is "tRNA-Ser". It matches the Rfam family "tRNA". Rfam says of the family: Transfer RNA (tRNA) molecules are approximately 80 nucleotides in length. Their secondary structure includes four short double-helical elements and three loops (D, anti-codon, and T loops). Lineage: Bacteria; Pseudomonadati; Pseudomonadota; Gammaproteobacteria; Pseudomonadales; Marinobacteraceae. RNAcentral also lists the same sequence under 3 other names. The record is from RNAcentral.
GGAGGGAUGGCAGAGCGGUUGAAUGCACCGGUCUUGAAAACCGGCAUACGUUAAUAGCGUAUCCAGGGUUCGAAUCCCUGUCCCUCCGCCA